ACAAUUAUUUAUAAAUGAGCUAGUUGAUGGUCGUUUUGCAGUUAGCUGAAGCCCACAUCAUUUGUAGGCUUACUUUAAUAACUCAACUUGAAUAUUGCUGAUUUGUUCCAAAGAUUAAUUUGUGCUGCAUUUGUUUACUAGGAGAAGAAAUACAAAUUAAUCUUCUACAUGAUUGAUUGGGCCGAUCUUAUCUUCAAUAUUGAAGGAAGAUAUCAUCAGCAGACAGACGAGCAGCUCCUUUUUCUCUUUGGUUUCUUUUUAAUAUAACACUUCAACCCAGUGGAAUAUCAAUAUAUUGAUAUAUAUAAGUCAGUAUAUUCUAAGAGCCUAUCCAACAUCAGAUGAUCUAUGGUUGUGGGUUGCACGAGACGCCGUUACGUUCGAUUCUAAAUGCAAUGUGAAUAACCAUAACUGCAACACUUAUCCAUAACCGCAGCACUUGCCCUGUCCCCGGUGGGACGGUGGACGAGAGCAUAGGGGGGGCCAAGGGGGGGACGUAUGCAUUCAAGGCAUCGAUCCGAUGCAGCAUGAUGGAGAGGAGGGGUCGACUGUUGGAGUGGAAGACGUGCCGCUGAACCGAGACACGUGGAAUUAGCCGACAACGAGCGGCCUGUCCAUCCGCCCGUCCAUCUUCAUCACGCGGCCUCGCCGCCCCGCAUCCGGGGACCCAUUAGGGAAUCGGGCCCUCGUCGUUUUUCUCCGCUCCGGUGAUGAGUCACUCCCACAAAGUUGCUUAUCGAUCGGGGCGCCGUGCGUCAGCGCCCGCUAAGUGGCCCCUCCCGCCCGCCUGUGUGACGGUCUCUGAGACCGGCCGAGUGGUCUCGUUAUUACGGCGUCAGCGAAAAGAGGCGUGCGAUGUGGGAUCGGAGGUUUUAGGGUGUGACAAUUGGGGGGGAAGGGGCAUCAUUUAUUAUGUGUGUCUCUGCUCAGUCGCACUUUGUGCCAUUUGCAUCGUUUCCUCCAGAGAUUAGUCAUCUGUUUGAGAGGCGAGGAGCAGUCUGCGGCUGCACUGUUGUGACCGCUGUUUGAAGCUGCGUGUGUCCGCAGGUGUUAUUUAAAGAUGUCCCAGGCUACUCAGGGCUCUAAACUAACAAUUAAAAGGUAAAACAUGCCCGUCUAAUUUUUUCUGUAAAAUAAAAUGUGAUAUGAAAUACUAAACGCUUAACAAUGGCAAUGUGAAAAUUAAAACAUAAACUGCGGUACGAUUGUCUAACUGUAUAUCUAAUGGAAGAUUAUUUAAGGGUUUUGUAUCAUUCUGUUUGCUGCUGCAGUGGUGUUCCUGUAUAUUGAAAAUUGAACGUUGACAUUUUUGACCCGGAGAACUUAAAUAGGUUUUGCUGCUGUUACUGUUCACAGAACUUUUGCUGUUCACCAGCAAAAGAUUCCCGUGUCAGUCACACUGCUUCAAUUCUUUCUUCUUUUGUAACUUUCGUCCGGUUUGGUUUGGCAGUGCUCACAGAGCAAAGAUACAGCUGUGCCUCCAAACUGCUGUAUGGAUGAUGCCCUUUUGCUUCACUCAUGUAGUUUGGUGACUGCGUUUUGCAGGAGGAUAGUUUACCCCUUUUUCCUGGCAAUGCUUUUUUUUUUAUCCCCCCAUUAAAGAAUGUAGAAGGUUUCCAGAAGUGCACUAUUCGUAUGAAACGAGCUGCGGCGCCUUUUACUCUUUCAGACCAUUACAGAUGUGCCGCGGCAGGUGUGAGUUUUAUAAUGUGUCCUUUGAGGAAAAAGCAGGCGGAGGAGUGGCGUUCUCCAAUAACACGGUUGUGGCUUCAAAGUUCACUGAGAAAUAUUGGAGGCUUCAGAGGCUCCUACGACCACGAGCUGCCUCACACUCCUCACACCUGGACUAAUAUUGUUGUUGAAGUCUGGCAUUUAAUAUCACUUGUGUAUUGUCAUGCUCGAGCUCUGUCUUAAAUACUAGAUAUAGAAAAAGCUUUUUCUUGUAUUAGGAAGAAUAUCUUCCACGGUAAAAUAAUUAAACUGACUCCUGAGAUUCCAGAAGGAUAUCGAAUAAUACACGUUAAGCACAGUACAGUUAAACAAAACAUCCGAACCUGAAGUAGAAUGAAAAUAUACAUCCCCUGUCAGGGUAAAAUGUGCUUGAGGAAAUGAAGAGAGCAUUCUUCUGAGAAUGGGAAAUAGAUUUUUUAUAAUCCAAAACCAGGAAGAGAAAGAAACCGUUGAGGGCAAAAGAGACGUUUCAGCCAGCUGCAUCUUCGCAUGGGUGCAGAGUGAAGCCCUUUGAUGGGGUUUGCAUUUUUUAAGAUGCUCUCAAAGAGGGGAUGGGGGGGUUCUGGAUUCCUCUCUAGGUUUUCAUUAGUCAAUGUAUUAAACAUCAGCCCAGGAGAGAAAAUGUAUUUUAAAGUUGAAGAGGUAGAGCCGUGUAUGAAUAUACACACACACUCCCAUGCGCUCCCUCUCUGUUCCGUACGUUGCAUUUGUCAUUCCCUUUCUGCGUCUGUCCUCGCGCGGCUCCGCCUGCCCUUUCCCUCCAGCUGUUGCUUUGAUAUUGGCUUCAUGAAAUCUGUGUAUUAACACCACGGACGUAUGAAUAUAACGUGCCGCCACGCAGAGAGUCUCUCUCAUUCUCUUCUAAUCUUUUUUUUGCCUCCUUUUCAAUAUUUAAUCCUGUUACCCUCCACAGAAUACAAGAACUUUUAGUCUUGUUUUCUUCCUGUGACUUUGCUAGUGGGGUGGGGAGGAUGUAAUGCUUCUUUAUUCAUCUUUUUUCUCUGUGGACAUCUGACUGUGAGGCUCUGAUGAGGUUUUUCUUCAGGUGUCCCGAUAGUCGGGUGCAAUGUUUUGUCCUGCGCUCGCCCAUUUUCCGCUCAGCCUGUUGGGGACAAAACUUAGUUUCUUUGCAAAUCUCCGGCGUCACAAUUGUGGCAGAGAAUCCGCCUCAACUGACCUUACGCAAAUCGGCAUUAUGUAAGAAAAAUGAACUUUUAUAAUAUUAACUCAGCAAAGACCUGAGGUGCUACACUUUUAUGAUCGCAGUACUGGACGAUGCCAUCUCCUUUACCUCUUUGAUCAGACAUUUCUAGAUGUAUUUCCUUUUCUUUAUGUUGUGUUUAUCAUGUUGUGUUUUUCCAAACGUAACGUCUCCAUUUAAGCAUGCAAUGCCCGGUUGUCACCCGAUGCCUUCGUUGGUUGAUGUGGGCUGUUAGUAGGGAGAUUAAGCUUUUCUAUUUUUCUUCCCAUUUUGCAGGAUAAUUAGGCAGUUAGUCUUUUUUUAGAGGUUGCGUUUUCAAAGAAAUUCCAUUUGUUUGGGGGAUGACGGGCGUCCAGUAGGACGCUUUUUGGCUCACUCGCUGUAAUUGUCUAACGGCACUCAAUACAAAGAUACCAGUGAAAUUAUGGAUGUAAUCUUCUGUGCAGCUUUCAUGUGUUCCCAUUCUCUUAAACGGAAGAGUUUCUAUUUGGAGUUACAAAUUAAUAAGUUCAGUAAUUGGCGUUAGAAAUAUGUGUCAACCACUGCAGCAACAACAGCUGUUCAGGCACCGGUUACAAACGGCAAACGCGGCUACAAACAAAGACGCGCUGGCUGAUUGUGGAUCAUUGGAGUUCUGUGAGUCGACUCAACGACGGAUCGAUUGCUCGUGUCUUAAUAGUUGUCGCUCUGAUGUUUGCUCGUGCGCGUCGUGUCGCCAUUGAUCGAGCGGUAAACACCUCGAUCCUGCCCCUCUAAGGGGCUCUAACCAGGUUGUUUUCCCGAUACCCCCCUCGGCCCGUCCCCCUACAGACUUUCCCUCACACGUGUUGGGAUCGAAUCAUUGACGGUCUUCAUUGAUUUCCGGGCGCAACUACUUUGACAUUUCGAGCGUCGGAUGGGAUAAUGAAUGUGAUGCUCAGAGCUCAUUUAGUUAUUGAACCCCAGAUGGGAUGAAGCUGCAGUCUUCACUCAAUAAGCAAAUAGAGCAUGUGGACUUGAGUCGCUAUGGACUACAGAUCUGUUAUGGAGCCGGCCUCGGCCUGCUUAUGGGGUCCUAUUGAUUUCAGUUAACCCAUGAAAUGAUUGUAUUGCUGGCCUGACAACACAGCCCUCAUUCCUGGUGAUUUAGAGAGAACCGCGCGGCACGUCAGAGCACCUGCAGGUUCCGCUUUGGGAAUUUCAAAAACCGGCAAUGUGAUCGAGACGAUGGAGAAGCGAUUUAAAAAGCCCCGAGACGCUCCGUGACUAGACAUCUCAUUGGUGGCUUCGCGGAGACCUCACCAGACGCGCACCUACUGCUCUCAUUCUGAGGCGAUGCAUCUAAAAGACAUCAUUAAUCCAAAGGGACGAGACGCGCUGCAGCUCUGAACGUACGGAAGCAAACAUGAUCAUCUGUCUGUGGAGGAUGAUCACCGGGUAUCUCAAUUAGUUUUAAUCUGAAUCAUCUCCAUGAAAAUUAUCAUUUUUCUUUUUUUCAAAUGAUUUAUUUCUUCGGCAUAAACGCUUUCAAGAAGACGCAUGAGAACCCUGAUUUUGACUAAUGGUGUCUAAAAGGCGGAUUAGCGUCUUCCUCCAGUUAGCAUGCCAUCAUUUGUCUCUUUCAGACGUAGUUUCUGCGCAUGCUUUUAUGGAUUUACUCCGUCACAAAGCAAUAAGUAAUUGGUCGCCAACACAGUUGUUAAAGCAUGUUAUAAUCAAUUGUAAUUGGAAAAUUAUGUUGGAAAUAAGAAGUCAUUCGAGCAGCACUUUCUUUACACUCACUUCCGAUUUUCAAAUAAAUUUAAUGUUGGCAUAAGUACAGCCAUUCUGAUAAUGUAAUGCAUUGAGGAAAGUGGAAAUAAGAGCACCAUAAAGAUGACGCUAAAAGCAUUUUGUUGAUAGUAAUUUCCCUGCCGGCACUAAGAGCAACAAGAUGGAGGAGAGGACUGAUGAGCAUCAUCACAAAUAACUUUAAAGACAGUCUACUCCGAGGACACGUGUCUCUCCUGAGCAGCCUGUGGCGGUUCGAGCGAGCCUCCCCCUCUCUGUACGUAUGAAACAACCAGACGGUCAUGUAUGAAGACUUGUGUCAAAGAGAGGGAGCAGGGGGGGGAGGAGGGGGGAGUGUGGCAUGUAGCCCUGAAGACGGCACAAUAUUCUUUUUGCAGUAGGGGAAACAAGAUCUGGAAAACUAGAGGUCUUCCAGGAAUUUGAUUAUUGCGAAUGCACAUUGCGCCGAGGACAAAUGCAGUCUCCAUUUGAAAAUGUAAUGUAGGAGCUGAUGCUUUUAAAGAAACCAACUCACGGUAGGUUUGUGUUUCUCACCGUGUGACCCCCGGCGCACCGCGAGAAGCCUCUUUUAACGAGCCGCGGCUCAUUCGUCUGAGCCUGCCGCUGGAUUCAUUCCGACGUCGCUCUGCGCCCGGGAACGCACGCUGACUCUGCACAAUUAGGCCGCCUGAAUAGAAAACCAGGAGCGGCCCGGGUCAAUUACCCCGACACUUAACCCCCGGCGGCGACUCAUCAGUCUCCGAGACGAAGGGCAGAGUGGACGGUUGGCGGGUUAAUUGAGUGCAGGCGACCCUUGUUGUGGUAAUGAACCUGUGUGCGGCUCACCCGGCGCCGGCCUCGCCCCGGGGGGGCUCACGUUUUAUAUCCAGUGACGAUGGGAGAAAUGACAAAGAAAUGACAAAGACAAGCUAACGUCCUCAUCCCACAUACAUGUCGAGUGGGAAGGAGGGGGGAGAGUUACCCUUUUGUUUUAAUGUGCUUUUACCCGUAGAUAUUCAGUCGUUGUCCUGCGGUCGGCUCUCAUUAACAUUACAAAUUACAAAUUUCGGCUAAUUAGCUUUAAAUGUUUCCAUUGUUUCCAUUGGAAGCACUUUUUGUCCAGGCACAGUUAUUUAUGUUAGAAAUUAUUAGAAUAUCAAUUUGAUUUCACUCUUUAAUGUUACUCAAAGUCAGCAGACUCAAACAGAAAUCUACUAUGUGAAAGCUCUGUGUUUGUUUGAUCAAACAUUGAUUAUAUUAUAGAUUAUAUUAAACCACCUAACUUAAUAACGGUCUCUUGAUACACUGCUUAACUUGCACCGUGGUAACCGGCCUAGUUUUUCUACGACUGUUAUCAUAGCUUUUAAAUUUGUUGUCACCGUCUGUAUUGCCUCGCAUCCGUUGGUCUCCAAUCAAUGACUUGUUUCCUUUCUGUUGUUUUUCACAAUCUUCACUUCUAUCAUCUGUGAAGUAACCUGCAUGACAGGUGCUGUUCAAAUACAGUUUGACCGGAUUAAAUCAUUCCUUUCAUAUAAACCAGUACAGGUAAUGUAAAAGUGUUAUUUUCAGAUUUCAUUGAUUCACAUGCUAAAAGACAAAGAUGAUCACAUGAUCUUUUUAGAAGUCUCUCUUUGUGGGAUUCCUUAUUAAAGCGGUUUGUAUGUCAAGCUUCUACUUUGCAUUUUUUUUUUUAUUGAUCUCUGGGUAGGACCACAUCAAACCCUUCCGUUUGAAUCGAUUAAAGUGCUUAUUUAGAUUUUUUUAUCCGAGGAGUUGAGCCUCGUCAUGUGUGUCAUUUUCCCUCUAAUAGAAAUCUGGGACCAAUGACUCGGAUGGAUGUUGGGGGGGGAAAUCAGCGGCAUCUGAGAGAGCUAGAAAUGAGCGCCUGUCGGUUAAUCAGCAAGUCUUGUUUCAGAUCAGGAAGGAUGGCUCGGAACAUCAGACAUCAAGACACUGGAAAGGGAGAAUGUUUAAGCUCGCAUCAAUUCAAAAGUAAAAGCUCCCUCGCCGAGGGGCUGUUAUCAGUCAUGAAAUGAGCCCUUAAACACCGGAUCCUACACGUGGCAGCUUAAAGUUCCAGAGACUCCAACUCUUGCAAUCUCAAUCUUGUGUGUGCAAUUCGAGAGUGAGAUGGGUGAGAAAUCUGCAUAAACAUGGUCCUUCUAUUUUUCUCUGUUUACACGUAGCUGCAGAUUAAUGAAGGACAGACGUGUGAAUAACUACUUAAUAAUACCAUCAAUACUUUCCAGAGUGCAUUCAAGUACAUUUAAAUAUAGUAAUAUAUGUGUAAGUAAAUGUGAACGUGUUAGCUGGUUAAGAAACGGAAUAAAUAUGUAAAACACCAGAUUCCAGAGUCCAGUUAAAGCCCAUAUACUAUUUUUUUAAUUGAUUUAAAACUCAAUUUCCAAAUAAAUAUAAUAUUAAACAUGUAUGUAUGUUUUUUUUUACAAUAUAGACCAGUCGCACGUGGAAGGCUUUAUCAGUAACUCCACUGCAGAGAAAUAUACGACGAACCUAUUGUAUUGUAUUUUUAAGGAUUCACUUUACACCCUGCUUCUCACAAGUUAACCUCUCAAAAGGUGUCAGAACCCCCCCCACCCCCCCACCCCGUAAAAAACCUUAGACCUUGAUAAUGCUCCAGAUGAUACUGAGUUCUUGGCUGCGUUUCUAGCUGUCCGGCCGGUGCCCCGACAUGCGGAGUAGAAAGGACCCUUACAGCUUUCAUUUCAAUUAAAUGUAUUUAUAUAUAUCUAUAUUAUUCCUUUAGGGGAAACAGUGGUACAUCCAAUCACAUUAGGCCUUGGUUGGUGAGUCGUGGACGGCACACUCCUCUUGUUCCCUGGUAUUGACUCGGUUCUCUUCUUUCACCUCCUCAAGGUCAGUCUGGAGAUUGUGGCUGACGUUGAUGUUGUCCUGCAAUGCCACCACCUCCUUUUCAAGAGCUUCCUUCUCUCUGAUGUUGUCCUCCUGCUCUUCUUGGAGUCUGCAGAGUUCCAUUCUCAGGCCCUGAUUGACUUCCUCUUCAGCGUGGAGCUUGGUGGCAUGCUCCAGGUUGCUUGAGACCUGUUGGUGUUUGAAGUCCUCAACAUGUUUAAGAAAGCUCUUCUCCAUCUCAGUGGCAUUGUCCUUCAUGGUGUUGAUGUUGUCCUGCAAUGCUACUACCUCCUUUUCAAGAGCUUCCUUCUUUCUGAUGUUUUCCUCCUGCUCUUCUAGGAGUCUGCAGAGUUCCGUUCUGAGGCCCUGACUGACCUCCUCCUCAGCGUGGAGCUUGGUGGCAUGCUCCAGGUUGCUUGAGACCUGUUGGUGUUUCAGGUCCUCCAAGUCUUUCAGAAAGGUCUUCUCCUUCUCUGAGGUGUUUUCCUGCAAUGCCACCACCUCCUUUUCAAGAGCGUCCUUCUUUUUGAUGUUUUCCUCCUGCUCUUCUAGGAGUCUGCAGAGUUCCGUUCUGAGGCCCUGACUGACCUCCUCCUCAGCGUGGAGCUUGGUGUCAUGCUCCAGGUUGCUUGAGAGCUGUUGGUGUUUCAAGUCCUCAAUGUCUUUAACAAAGGUCUUCUCCAUCUCAGAGGCGUUGUCCUUCAGAGUCUGGAUCUUCACCUUCAUGUGGCGAAGCAGAUCAUCCUUGGUUACCAUUAGCUGCUUUCUGGCUGCCAGAUCCUUGGACAUCUUGAGUUUCAUCUUUAAAUCCUCUUCAUGGCUCCAGUUGGUCUGAAGAUGUUUAAGUUCUUCACGGAGAGCUGCAUUUCUCUCUCUCUCGAGCUGGAUCUCCGCUGAGAAUUUCUGCUCCCUGAUUAUAUGAGACAUUUGCAGGUUCUCAAAUUCCAUUUGAAGUUCCUUCUCCUUCUUGGUUUUGAGGGUGCUGCAAACCCCACUGGCAAUCCCAAAGGUGUUCAUCGUCUCUGGUUCACCAGCCCUCCAGAGUCUCUCCAUUUCUUCACGCCUGGCUUUCUCCAUCUCCUUCAGGCUCUUCUCAAGGGCCAGCUCCUCUGUCACCUCAUGCAGUUGUUGAAUAAGCUCACUUUUUGUGUUGGUCUCUGAGUAGUUUUGGACACCCUCACGUGGAAUACCUGGGAAAGCUUUGACAGUAAAAUUCUGCCGCCUGGCUUGGUCCUGGUUGUACCGGGGGGCCCGGGGCCUCCUGUUGUUUCCACCACGCUGCAUCGAUUAGCUGGGAGACACGUAUACAAUGAUCUUGUACAAAUGCAGUUAGUAACUGAUGAACUUGUAAUGAUACGGUCUGUCAGGGAUAAACGGUUGUGACAACUUGUUUUUAUUUAAAUUGGUGUUUCCGUGGAAGGUUCUCUCUCUGUGACAAUGGUGUCCUGGUGCUAUGGCAACCACUGUUAUUAUUAUUUUUUAAUGGAUUCACCAUUUUAUUUAGGUUUUACUGAAUGUUUGUGUUUGAAUGUUUUUGAGGCAAUCUCCACACAAUACAUGACACGAGUAUGUUGUCAAUUCAGUCUCCACGCUAGCAUGUGAUGUCCUGUUUAAUGAUUUUAUAGCACUGUCAAGUACACAUUUUUCUCACACACAUAUUGCUUCACUAACUAUGACUAUUUCUUUGACUAUAAUGACUCCCACUGAAGGUUUUAUAAUAAAUAAGCGAUACCAAAUUCCCUGGUAAUUUGGUUUUAUUACAUUAAAUGACUUAACUAAGGGGGCGGCACGGUGACGUGGUGGUUAGCACUGUCGCAGCAAGAAGGUCCUGGGUUUGAUUACGCCCAGUGGCCUUUCUGUGUGGAGUCUGCAUGUUCUCCCCGUGUCUGCGUGGGUUCUCUCCGGGUUCUCCGGCUUCCUCCCACAGUCCAAAGACAUGCUCUGAGGAUCAGGUCGAUUGGGGACUCUGGCUGGGAUAGUCUCCAGCCCCCUCGCGACCCUGUGUGCAGGAUAAGCGGUUUGACGAUGGAUGGGACAUAACUAAGCUCAUCUUUUAAAGAUGAUUACUUUAGAGAAUAUAUGUAUGCUCUGAUAUGAAAACUGUUUCUGUUUUUAGUCAAUUAAGAGUUUUAAGUUUUUGGUCCUUUGCUAUGUAAAAGAUCACAAAUAAGACGAAUGUUCACAUGCUUCUCCGUGCCCCAGUGGAUUAUGGGACGAUUUUUGCCCUACAGGGGACAAAGCAGUUUUUAAAUGAGUACGAGCUUAUACACUAGGUCCGUUUUUAUAGGGUCCAAAGCAAGCCGAGGAUACUUUCUCUGUGAAAACAAUUAUAAAUAAUCUGCACAGUUGCUUCUGUGAUGUUGAUUGGAUGCGUACGGCGCCGUCCUGUGUUCGCCCACACUCUGGGGCUUCUGCACACACACACACACACACACACACGAUGUACUCAAUGGAAACACAUAACAUUAGAACGAUGUAUAGGCAACCCUGACAAACUAUAUUCCAACACACUAUUAUAUUUAACUUGUAAAAAAAGCCUCUUUUCUUUUGACAAAGGACUUGAACAACCCGCCAUGCAAAUAAUCUGACUUGAAGGAAGCCAUUACUCACUCAGUGCCCCUUUGUAUUAGAUUGCGGCCUUUUCCGUUUCCCAUUAUGUAAUAACUUGGUUACCAAGGUCCUGUUUUUUUUUUCUUCUUUACUCAGGCAUCCCUAAAAUGUGUCUGCCUCUCCGUCCCUUCAUCUGAUGGACUUUUUGGGUGUGUUGCUGAGGACCCAAAGAGGUGUAAUGUCUUCUUCUCAUCUACGGGACAUAUUAUUAUUAUUAUUAUUAAUAAAUAAGAAGCGGACAGGGCCGUAGUGAUGUCACACAUUAGUUCAGUGGACUGACGUUUUGAAGUUUGGCAUUUUUUGCUCUCGCCAUCUUGGCUUUUUAUAUUGAUGGCCUAUUAUAUAGCCUGUAAAUCGCUGCGUAGCCCCGCCCCAAAGCAUAUCCUACUUUAUGGUCUGUUUGACUCUAAAUGAACAUCAUGCUGUAUUGAAAAAGACUUGUAACUAGAGAAUGAGACCAUAAUCUCAUGUUUACAAUGUUCAACGAGGAGAGGAGUUUGACCAAACUUCCUCCAAGAACUUUAACUUUACUUGACCUGCUGUUUAGCAUUGACUCAAUGUCUGCUGUCAGGACUCCAAGCUAUUAUCUGUGUGACCUUUUUAAAUGCAGAGUUUCCGAAUGAGUAGGCGGACAUAAAUGAUGAACUACGUAAGUAUACCUCGGCCGUCUAAUCGAUGCUCGCUUAGAAUGCUGCAUGCAGUGUUUGGUUGUGAAACUGUCACUUUAAUGUGAUAUUCAGAUAUUCACAAGGAACGGAUGCAUCUAAUGUCACAUUAAAUUGGAUGGAAUCUAUAGGGAUCAGAUACUAUACCUCUUCCCAGUUUCCCAAAUGGAUGUGAUCAGUGCUUGAUGGUAAUUCAACAUACCCGACAGCCCUAUUUGUGUAAUAACUUCCAGCAGGUUAAACGAUGUCAUGUCUCCACAUGCGCUUCAGGGAGUUGAUCAAAUGAUUAUUUUGUUAAAGGGACCCUCGGCUACCCGACACAGGGAUGAUGAAUCGUAUCAACGGCCUGAUCCAUCGUCCUCUCCUGUAAUUUGUCCACAUCUUUUUGUCCCCGGCCGACAAUAAUGUGGAUUAAUAUUUAAUAUGCGGGGGGGUAAUGCCCCCCCCUCUUUCCUCUUUCCUGCUGCUGACUUGGCAGGAUGUCCUCAGCCACUCAGUUACCACUAAACAGCUAUUGAGGCCCACUUCUUUCACAGGAUGCUUACAAACAUUAUGUUAUGGGAACGUGUGACAGGAUGCUGACAGCAGAAACAGCUGCUCGACCCUGUAACUUAAACGUUGGCUUCAUCACAAAUAUUCAGCAAAGGCGGUUCAGUGCAUCCACUCCUUUCCAACUGAAUCAAAAAUCCUCCUCAAAUGAGAAUAAAAGGUUUGGUUUUUUUUGCCCAGUUGCAAAUGUUUUUUUCCAUUUCAUCUUAAAAUGCUUGUAAAUACACUUGAAACCCUCAAAAGUCUGUGAUAUUUUUACCUCACAGCGUCUCCAUAGCGAUGGAGUCACAAAGUGGGAGAAGUCAUUUCAGGCAUCAAGGACUAAAAGUCCCUUCUAAUUUUCUGGAUGGACGAUGUUGGGUCAGCUGGACAAUAACCUCUCCUUGUUGAAUGGUUAGUGGCAAAGACGAGCAGCUGCUUUACGUGCAGCGCACACACGCCUCAUGGCGUCAUGCAUCAUGGGAAACUCCCGCCAUGAUAAUUACACAAACACAGACGCAUCUCCAAAAGUCGAUGCUGGCAGCGGUACGAAGGCGUCGACCGGCCUUCUCGGCCUAACGCGCGCCACCGGUAGAUCACGCUUCCACCCUCUUGACUGUCCUCGUCACCAUGGUUACGUUGGCCGAGGCCCGUAGCUAACCUUUGUAUCCGAGCAGGCUCAGAUUUAAGUUUGAAAGACUUUUAUUCUUUUUAAAAUACUCUUCUCUUUGAGAUGCGAAGCCGAAUUCGACCUCAGACAAGGGGUCACCGCCUGGUAUCCGGCAAUAAUAAAAAGAGAAUCUUCUGUGUAGAACUGCAGAUCAGCCAGGCUCCUAUUUUCUCACAUUGCCCUUCUCCGGAAUCAUCCGCAGUGCCGUCAAAACCAAUAUUAGCUGGAAUCAUCAGCGUGGGCUUUGGAGAGUGGAGAUAUUGAAGACGCAGGGGCGAGGAGAAUAACACGCCUUUUUAAUGAAUUGUCGGAUUGUUUUUCUGCUGGAGCGGCUGCGUUGAAGCUUAGCGGCCUUUCUGAUUUUGGACCAACUGGCAUUUUCUAUCCCUGUGUCUGGUUUGGGGAUUGCUGGUAUUUGGUUUGUGAGGAGGUUUGUGUCGGGGCACCAGCAGUGAGCGUGCAUACACAUGUCCAUUUCCUUCCAGACACGCACACACACACACACACACACGCAGCACAGGCUGCAUUCAGGCAAACAGACUCAAGUCAAAACGGUCUACUGGGACACUGCUGCAGCAUUGGGGCUAUAUACAUUUUUUUCAGGAUUUGUCCCACUUACAAAUCAAGCUCCUGUUAAGGAGUACUGAAGACAUCCUAAGGGGGGACACAAGUACCUGAACCAAAUAGUGUGACCAUCCAGCCGUUAGUUGCGGAGAAAUUUGGCUCAAAGCGCCCGUGUGGCGGAGCGCGGGGACCAGCCGCUGAUCCUCCGGCCGUCGCGGGCCGCAAACUUUAAUGAGCAAAUUGAUUUAAUGUGUCCUCCUGUGUGAGGAGGGAGCGGCAGUAAGUACAGCACCGAUUGAUUCAUCGUGGGGCCUGAAAAUGAAAGCGCUAUUUAACACCGGCUGAUGCGGCCACGUACCGCCGUUUAGAUGUAAAAAUAAAUCCUACUGCCUGCAGAACGGCACCUUGCGGUUUAUCAUUGUUAACAAGCGUAUGAGGGGAGAAUUCAUACCAUAAGGAAAUGUUAUACCGGUAUACCGCACAUCCCUAUCAUUAAGGUUGCCUCUUUACGUUUUUAGGAUCCUUUUAAAAGGAAUUUAAAACUUUAAAGACCACUGACCUUUUUAGUUGAGUAAAAUGAGGUAAUUACAUCCCUCGCCCCUUGACAGUAAAGGUUUCCACUUACAGGAAUUAUGCACAAUUGCAGUUCCAUGUAUCUUUUCCUUGAACAAUAUUCCAAUAUUUCACAUUCAGGGACAGAGAAGACAUUAUUGCCAAUGCAAAUCAGAUGCAUUUACAUGAGUAGUCUGAGAACAUCCCGCGAUACUAAAUCUCUUGUCUGUGGUUGUAAUGUAAUCUGCAGCGGGCGCAGUGACACCUAACCACUCCCCCUCACCGUCUCUUUCCUGUUUGACCUUUCUCUCUCCCUGCUGGAGUUGAUUUACACGUGGACAUUCGUCAGCCGCAGCGAGGCUUUCCGGUCCUCCUCUAAUCGCCUGCUGGACCUGCUCCAGAACAACGGGCCUUUUUUUUAAAUAUAAAGCGCUGCAUUCCUGGAGAAACUAGAGAAAGAGAGAAAUUGCUAGAUGUGAGAAAGGUGAAUUUACAAUAUGUGUAAUUCCCCCUUUUGGCAGGAUGACGUUUAAUUGGUGUGAUUGAAGGCAGAUGGAGCGGCAAAGGUUGGGAAGAUGCCAAGAACCGGAGCUUCAGAGCGUGUGAAGAGGUGCAGGUAGAGAGACAGCAGCAGCAUGCAGCUUACUGGAUAUGUGGGAAUAUAUAUAUAUAU
Long non-coding RNA from Gasterosteus aculeatus aculeatus (three-spined stickleback), 13817 nucleotides. NCBI's taxonomy places the organism in Eukaryota, Metazoa, Chordata, Actinopteri, Perciformes, Gasterosteidae. The record is from Ensembl.